RNAcentral lists this ribosomal RNA (253 nucleotides) under uncultured bacterium. RNAcentral's name for it is "partial 16S ribosomal RNA". It matches the Rfam family "Bacterial small subunit ribosomal RNA", at positions 524 to 776 of the family's 1533-position model. The record is from RNAcentral.
GACGUAGGGCGCAAGCGUUGUCCGGAUUUAUUGGGCGUAAAGAGCUCGUAGGCGGCUUGUCGCGUCGUCCGUGAAAACUUGGGGCUCAACCCCAAGCUUGCGGUCGAUACGGGCAGGCUAGAGUUCGGUAGGGGAGACUGGAAUUCCUGGUGUAGCGGUGAAAUGCGCAGAUAUCAGGAGGAACACCGGUGGCGAAGGCGGGUCUCUGGGCCGAUACUGACGCUGAGGAGCGAAAGCGUGGGGAGCGAACAGG